CCCAGUUGUAGGCAAUUGCCUAGGCUGCCUUGUACCUAGGCAAGUGUUAUACUGCUGGGAGAAAAGAAGCUAGUAACUGGCAGGCAUU
Molecule: small nucleolar RNA, 88 nt
Organism: Ochotona princeps (American pika)
Lineage: Eukaryota; Metazoa; Chordata; Mammalia; Lagomorpha; Ochotonidae
Gene: SNORA74
Rfam family: Small nucleolar RNA SNORA74
About the family: U19 belongs to the H/ACA class of snoRNAs. snoRNAs bind a number of proteins (including dyskerin, Gar1p and Nop10p in the case of the H/ACA class) to form snoRNP complexes.
Source: Ensembl